GGCAAUAUCAUGUUGAAACACCUGUUCUCAUACAAUCACUGAAGUUAAGCAAUGUUAAGCCUGCUCAGUACCUAGAUGGGUGACAGCUUAAGAAUACCAAGUGCUGUAAG
This is a non-coding RNA of Acanthosepion pharaonis, 110 nucleotides long. Lineage: Eukaryota; Metazoa; Mollusca; Cephalopoda; Sepiida; Sepiidae. The record is from the annotation of a GenBank genome assembly.